Molecule: ribosomal RNA, 292 nt
Filed under: uncultured bacterium
Lineage: Bacteria
Description: partial 16S ribosomal RNA
Rfam family: Bacterial small subunit ribosomal RNA
Source: RNAcentral
GUGCCAGCAGCCGCGGUAAUACAGAGGGUGCAAGCGUUGUUCGGAAUUAUUGGGCGUAAAGCGCGUGUAGGCGGCCUUGCAAGUCGGGUGUGAAAUCCCUCAGCUUAACUGAGGAAGUGCGCCCGAAACUGCAGGGCUUGAGUACCGGAGAGGGUGGCGGAAUACCCCAAGUAGAGGUGAAAUUCGUAGAUAUGGGGUGGAACACCGGUGGCGAAGGCGGCCACCUGGACGGAUACUGACGCUGAGACGCGAAAGCGUGGGGAGCAAACAGGAUUAGAAACCCUUGUAGUCC